GAAGUCAAAAUAUUGUUAACUGAGUCAAAUAAAACAAAUUAAAAGGUGGAAUAGUAAUCUCUCUCGAAAAAAAAAAAAAAGGUGGAAUAGUAAAAUCAAAAUUUUUGGAUAGCCGACUUAAAAUGGUCCAUAAUUCAAAAAUUACAUAAAAUAUUACUAAUUGAAUUUGUAAAGAUAAGCAAUGCACUCAAAUAUCAAGGUCAAAGUAUUGUCGACUGACUCAAAUCAGACAAAUUAAAAUUUUUGACAGUAAAAUCAAAAUUUUGAAAGAUUAUAUAUCAAAAUGGUCGAUUCA
Molecule: long non-coding RNA, 295 nt
Filed under: Ananas comosus (pineapple)
Lineage: Eukaryota; Viridiplantae; Streptophyta; Magnoliopsida; Poales; Bromeliaceae
Description: long non-coding RNA (ACOM_LNC038006)
Source: RNAcentral